RNAcentral lists this non-coding RNA (27 nucleotides) under Homo sapiens (human). Lineage: Eukaryota; Metazoa; Chordata; Mammalia; Primates; Hominidae. The record is from RNAcentral.
UGCACCUGAGAGAAGAUGAACACGGCC